This 3614-nucleotide long non-coding RNA is filed under the name Ailuropoda melanoleuca (giant panda). RNAcentral describes it as "lncRNA (ENSAMEG00000025373.1)". The record is from RNAcentral. Lineage: Eukaryota; Metazoa; Chordata; Mammalia; Carnivora; Ursidae.
CUCGGCUCCAAUAUAAGGGUGUGGACUUGAAUGACCCUUCACAAUCUGUGCUUUUAUCCCUAAAGAAUAAGAAGGGGACCCAAUCUGCCAGCAACUCAGUAUUUAACUUCUCAAUACCCCAUAAAAGUGUUUUUACAAUUUGGCCCUAGGUCAGCAGCAUCAUCACCUGAGAACUUACUAGAAAUGCAAAUUCUCAGGCCCAACCCAGACCCUGCUGAAUCAGAAGACUGGGGGCGGGGCCCAGCAGCUUCUGCUGAAGGUUCUGGUGCAGCUCAAGGUUAAGAACCGCUGCUCUGAAUUGUUUUCUGCCCAACACUAAAGGGAGGGUUUAACACACACGCACACACGGAGGUAACCAACUUUUCUCUAUGGCCAGUAUCCCCCCCCCCCAACCCUUUUCCUGCUUUUCCAUCCCGGGAUGAUGAAUGGAGGUCAGGGCAGGGCGCUGUCCUCGCAGGACGCGGCAAACCCUCCCUCCCAAACCCACCCGGUGGGUCGGCGUAGGUGGCGUCGGGGCUUCCCCGAGACUGGUUUCCUCACCAUUUUCUUGACAACCGCUGCCCCACUUCGGGGAGGGGGACGUUUAAUAACGAAGUUUGCUUUUAAUGCUUUAGCCAAUAGUGUGCAGAAUAAAGAAGACUGUUGAGAGAGGGGUGUCAGGAAAAGUCUUGGGGAGAAAUGACUGGGAGAGAGAAGAGAAGGAUAGCGUUGAAGAGGUGAAGCUAGGGAGAAAAUAAGGGUUCAGGGGUGUGGGAGAGAGGCAGAGGGCAUUGCUCUUGGUAUGGGAAAGAGAAGCGGGGGGAAGAGCGCGGGACUAGAGCGCAACAGAAAGAAAAUGGGCGUUAGGAGAAAAACUGAGUUUGGGGGACUCGUUUUUUUUCCCCCCUCCAAGCUUGCUUUCCUUUCCAAGACUUUUUCUCUGCUCCAUUUUGCUCCUCCCCCUCCUCCCNAAGCUUCUUCCGUAUGGAGGGACCGGGCGCGCUGGGCGCGGCGUCCCCUGCCUUGUCCUCCUGCUGCCGCCGCCGCCGCGACCCCCGCUUCCUGCCGCAGAGACCCUGAGCCCCGGCCCGCCGGUGUCAGCCGCGGCGCGCGCGCACGCACACUCACGCUUACACACACACACGCGCACACACACACACUCACGCUCGCCUCAGCCGCACGCGCCCGCACGCGCCCUCCCUCCCCGGCCGGCAACUGCUCGGGCCGGGGCUCCUUUGUUGCUCCCGCGGCGACCGCUCUCCGGUUUUGGGAGUCCCUGGGUGUCACUGUGCGGGUUGUGUGUCGGUGCGGCGCGGUGCCGUGUGGCUCCCUCCGCGCUCACCGCGCCUGCCCCCGGGCCCCGCUUGCCCUUCCCAGGAGCCGCUGCACCAGAGGAGACUGGAGGCUGUCUAUUCCCAUGAAAUCUGAGGAUUGAGAUGUCAGACACUGUCCCUUUCAUCCUCUUUCAAGAGAUCUGAGAGGAGUAACAUUACAAGAGACAUUUCCUCAGGAGAAAUUGCCCAAGACACAGACAUUGGCUUUACUCCAGAGAGAUUGCUAGAGGCCAUGAUGGUUGGUUCCUUAACCGACCACAGCUAGGGGUGGGGGACAGAGGACCCUGCUUAGCUGUGGAUUGGUUGGCCAACUUGUGAUAAGAGUGUGUUUCUUUCCAUCCUCCAAAUGGAUUUUCCUUUCUUUGAAGUGCUCUUUCAAGUGUUUGGGCUCCCAGCUCUCUUCUGCAACUUAUCUGUGAUUUCCAUUCCCUAAGAAGGAGUGGGGAUUUUACUCCUUAAAUAUUUCAGUUGACUUCCCCAGGGACCCCCAGGUCUUAAGCAAGAAGAGCAAGAGGUGAGUCUGGUGGUCACAGUAUUCCACGAGACCCGAGGGGCCUGGGUUCAGGCUUCAACAAAGUCACUGAUGAAGUUAAUGAAUAAGGGGUUUUCUCUUUGUCUUUCGAACAAGUGGGAAGAAGCUGAAGAAGACCCAAAUGCACCAGUUAAUUGAUGUCCAGUACUUUCUGUCCUCUUGAGUAAGGAAGUAUUAACCUGGCACCAAAAGAUAUUAUACAUUUAGAGUCUGCUUUCUUGGGAAAUAAGAGAAAAGGGAAGGAAGUGGAAAUUGGUGAGGCAGAGGAAAUAAAGUGAUUUGUUACAUUAAAAAGAAUCUGUUUACUUUAUCAUUUAGAACUUCUUGUCAUCUCCAUACUUCAAUUCAGCAAACAUUUCUAGUACAUCAGACCUUGGACUGGGAGCUUUCUUGCCCCAGGAGAAUAAGCUUUCUUAGACAAAGGGUGGUUCUCCAACCAACCCCCCACCAUUUUUCUUUAUCAUACAAACAUCUACUAAUAAUUAAAAAAUGUCCUUUUAAAUGACCCGCAUUCCCAUAUUAUAACACAACGUGUUUUGUUCAUCCACACGCAUACAUACUUUUCACAUAGUUGUGAUAAAAGCAUAGACAUUUUUGUAGUCAACAGUGAAGCACCUAGAGAUUUUUGUCCAAAGACUCACAGAGAACAGAUGUGUCCAACCUACUUCACUAUUGUUGGGAACAACCUAAAUCCUAAGAGUGCUCCCACCUCGAGCCUUCACAUGUAAUAUUUUCAGCAUUUAUGAGGCCGAAUCAAAUAUUUGGGGUCGGGGGGGGAGUGGAAUGGAAGUGAGUGUUUUUAAUCUAGAAAUCCAUGUUUACAAAAAGCCUCCCUAAAUAGGGCUUUUGCCUCUUUUGAGCCCUCAGGGUUGGUAUGGGUAGAGAAGGGGAGGAGGAAGGCAGGAAGUAAGGUUUAGAGGCUCCAUCUCAAGUGGCACUGCGGUGGGGAUUAGGGCACUUGCGUUGAAGCCCUGGCUCUUCUGAGGGCUCCAUUCACACUGACUCAAAUCACCGAACUAACUCAUCAAUCCUUGUAUCUCCACUGCCAUUGUGUUAGCCUCCCUCUCCAAGCUUGCCUCAUCAUUCCUGCCCCUUCUUUUCUUCUUCUAUCUAUCUAUACCAUUUUUCCAUGCCUGCUACCACCAUGCUUCUUCAUGCCCUUGACAUUUGUUGCUGACACAUGGCUAGACUCCCCACUGGCUACCCAUCACCACACCACCCAUCUUCCAUCAAUCCCGUAAACAAGUCACCACCCAGCUUCAAAACAGUCUAAGUUUACAACCCAAAUUUCCUAGCCCUCUCACAUGUGGCCCUGUCCCACCUCAUGAUAAUAUUACUUUAGUAGGAGUCUUCUGCUCCAGCCCGAACCUAUCUAGUGCUGACCCUUGAUUUUUGCCGGGUUCAUUCCUUGCUUGCUGCCUUAACACCCCAAACCCCUUUCCUGUAAGCCCACCUUACUUUGCAUGAGACCCACUAAUGAUGAGUUCUUGAGAGAGAUUUGGUGAAUAUUGAUGAAAAUGGGCUGCUGGUUGCAAAGGUACUGGUUUUUUAAGAUUCAGUGUAAUCGUUGUCCUUAAUCCAUGGUUCAUUUCAUUUUUACAAUGGACCAGGUAACUGGAGAUUUAAGGAAGCCCAGGAUCUUGAAAAACUGCUUUUUCUGUUUUCUUAUUUAUAAAAUGUAUUAAUAAGGAAUUACUAUGGUUUAUAGCAAUGCACCUUAUAAAAAGCCAGUACUUUGGAACUGUUUAUUUUGUCGUUCAAAAGAUAAG